Coregonus clupeaformis (lake whitefish) is the source of this 2818-nucleotide long non-coding RNA. RefSeq lists it as uncharacterized. The transcript has 3 exons. Lineage: Eukaryota; Metazoa; Chordata; Actinopteri; Salmoniformes; Salmonidae. The record is from RefSeq and is a predicted model, not a curated record.
AGGACAACAGACAAUCUAUUUCUGUGGAUUACAUUUAUUUCAAUUUUUCCCCCAAAAUAAUUAUACAAUACAAAAUUGUUUUGCAGCGGCCUGGAGAAAAUGGUUUGAGUAGAGGUCUGUCGUGACAUAAAGUGCUUUUUGACAUCCAAUGUUCCGCUGCUUUGCAGUUUGAUUUUUAUUUCCACCCCUCGUGCGUCUACAGGCUGCUAAGUAAACUAUCAAAAUGAUGAGCCCCAGAAAAGACUGGGGGCCUCUACAACUGAACAGAACGCCAGUGAGGGUCAUAACCCAAAAAAAAUACAGAAUACUGUCGUUCAACCAGAAAUACAUUGUGUCAAAAAAAAGUCAAAGAACAUCUGCAUAGAUUUGCUAGUUCCAUUUUCAGAUGGAAAAACCAAAUGCAAUUGAACAUUGAGUUAAGGUGUUAGUUUUUCAGGGAUUGGUUCAUUCAUCUUUCAUUCUGACAGUAUUUGUGGUUUUGAACGGUUUCCAACAGCCUGACCGCCAGGUAGCCUGAAAUCCAGUCAUCUUGUGCUAACAUUCCACUCCUUAACAAUCCCUUGUCAUGUCAAACAGUGGAACAUCAGGCUACCGACCAGGCUGUCACUGACUGAGAACAGUCUGGGUGCAUCUUAGCAACGAGGGAACAUCAACUGAAUCAUACCAUGUUAUUAUUAAAAACAAAAGGCUUGAUCAUGUUUCAUCUGAAACCCUAUCAGGCUUUACGAGAGCCCACCCACACAUUAGAAAAAUUGAGUUGGGAGUCAGGAAUAUGGUGUAUAUCAUAGCAAAAGGAUACUUGGGCCUUUCUCUGUAGGGGGACUGAAAUGGGUCCUACUUCUCAGGGUUCAGAGGUUAGUCCUACUGCUCAGGGUUCAGAGGUUAGUCCUACUGCUCAGGGUUCAGAGGUUAGUCCUACUGCUCAGGGAUCAGUCCUACUGCUCAGGGUUCAGAGGUUAGUCCUACUGCUCAGGGAUCAGUCCUACUGCUCAGGGUUCAGAGGUUAGUCCUACUGCUCAGGGUUCAGAGGUUAGUCCUACUGCUCAGGGAUCAGUCCUACUUCUCAGGGUUCAGAGGUUAGUCCUACUGCUCAGGGUUCAGAGGUUAGUCCUACUGCUCAGGGUUCAGAGGUUAGUCCUACUGCUCAGGGAUCAGUCCUACUGCUCAGGGUUCAGAGGUUAGUCCUACUGCUCAGGGCUCAGAGGUUAGUCCUACUGCUCAGGGAUCAGUCCUACUGCUCAGGGUUCAGAGGUUAGUCCUACUGCUCAGGGAUCAGUCCUACUGCUCAGGGUUCAGAGGUUAGUCCUACUGCUCAGGGUUCAGAGGUUAGUCCUACUGCUCAGGGUUCAGAGGUUAGUCCUACUGCUCAGGGUUCAGAGGUUAGUCCUACUGCUCAGGGUUCAGUCCUACUGCUCAGGGUUCAGAGGUUAGUCCUACUGCUCAGGGUUCAGAGGUUAGUCCUACUGCUCAGGGUUCAGAGGUUAGUCCUACUGCUCAGGGUUCAGAGGUUAGUCCUACUGCUCAGGGUUCAGAGGUUAGUCCUACUGCUCAGGGUUCAGUCCUACUGCUCAGGGAUCAGUCCUACUGCUCAGGGUUCAGAGGUCAGUCCUACUGCUCAGGGUUCAGAGGUUAGUCCUACUGCUCAGGGUUCAGUCCUACUGCUCAGGGUUCAGAGGUCAGUCCUACUGCUCAGGGUUCAGUCCUACUGCUCAGGGUUCAGAGGUCAGUCCUACUGCUCAGGGUUCAGUCCUACUGCUCAGGGUUCAGUCCUACUGCUCAGGGUUCAGAGGUUAGUCCUACUGCUCAGGGAUCAGUCCUACUGCUCAGGGUUCAGAGGUUAGUCCUACUGCUCAGGGUUCAGAGGUUCAGAUGAAUCACUUUAAAGACAAAAGGUCUCAAAACAGAACCACUAUGAAUGAAACCUAAUUUGCCUUUAAUUAAAAAAACAUUUGAAAAUAGAUUUGUUUCCUUCGUCGGAGCAAAUUACCAGGGAAGAUGGUAACAUGAGAUCUGCAUAAUACAAUACAAGUCUUACUAUAAGACAAAUGACCAACAAAGACGCAUCGGUUCCAAGAUGCCAGAAGAAAUGGUCAACAUACUGCCAUCAAUCCUGGCAGGCUCUGUCCAACACACAGCGGAGGGUCUUGUUUCUUUGCAACGUCUUGUUUUUCUACUGCUUAUGAAGCUGCUGGUGACUGGUUGCAGCCUGUAUUCUACGUGAAAGGCUUCACUUAGGCUAGACUGGUCUAUCGGUUAGAGCAGAAACUGUGUGGUAGCGCUUACUAGGGUCUACCCAGACUUUCUGUAGUAGAGAUGGAUUUUAUGUGGUCCACAUUCAGACAUUCAGACUAAAACAAAAGUCUAAACUAACGGAUGGAUUUGGCUUAAGAUGGCACUAGUCUAGAUUUCUGCGACACACAAUUGUUCAACGACGUUACCAGCACAACGAAAAACAAUAACAGCUUGUGUUUCGAUCUGAACAAGAUACAGGCACAGUUAAAUAACCACAUUCAUCUCCUCUCGCUCUCCCACCUCCGCCUUUCCCUCAACAACAUACUGUUCCCUCAACCACAGAGUUCAAUAACGAUCCUCUGAACGAGUUCAAUAACUAUCCUCUGAACAGGGAAACAGAACCACUGUCUAUUCCCGCCAACAAUGUUGAAACUUUAAAACCACAGUAAAACAAAUAAAAACAGAAGCUGAACAGCCGGAAGAACAGCAGCCCUGGCACGGUAUAGUAAAUAUGCAUCCCAAAUGGCACCCUAUUUUCUGGAUAGUGCACAUAGAGCCCUAUGGGUCCUGGUCAAAUGGCACCCUA